UGAACAUCUAUGAAGCAAAGAGUAGCAGGCGUCAACUCGAUUAGCGAGGUAAGGACUGGUGAGAGCUUACCCAGAGCGUUUGUGAACUGCAUUGUGGAGAUGGUCCGGUCAAAUCAUAGCCGGAUUCGCAGAAAUGCGUUAAAAUUUUCGAGAUUAUAGGCCUAGUGUCUAUAAACAAGAGUGGUAUCGUGGGAAGAACCCGCCUCUUAU
Molecule: non-coding RNA, 210 nt
Filed under: Aerococcus urinaehominis
Lineage: Bacteria; Bacillati; Bacillota; Bacilli; Lactobacillales; Aerococcaceae
Description: T-box sequence
Rfam family: T-box leader
About the family: Uncharged tRNA acts as the effector for transcription antitermination of genes in the T-box leader family. T-boxes are found upstream of many aminoacyl-tRNA synthetase genes and some amino acid biosynthetic genes usually in Gram-positive bacteria.
Source: RNAcentral